RNAcentral lists this ribosomal RNA (165 nucleotides) under uncultured bacterium. Its description in RNAcentral is "partial 16S ribosomal RNA". It matches the Rfam family "Bacterial small subunit ribosomal RNA", at positions 354 to 511 of the family's 1533-position model. The record is from RNAcentral.
GUAGGGAAUCUUCCACAAUGGACGAAAGUCUGAUGGAGCAACGCCGCGUGAGUGAAGAAGGGUUUCGGCUCGUAAAACUCUGUUGUUAAAGAAGAACAUAUCUGAGAGUAACUGUUCAGGUAUUGACGGUAUUUAACCAGAAAGCCACGGCUAACUACGUGCCAU